GACGAACGCUGGCGGCGUGCCUAAUACAUGCAAGUAGGACGCAGUUGCGAACGGGUGAGUAACGCGUAGGUAACUACCUAUUAGAGGGGGAUAACUAGUGGAAACGAUAGCUAAUACCGCAUAAUAGUAGAUGGUACUGCGGUGUAUUAGCUAGUAGGUAGGGUAAGGGCCUACCUAGGCUACGAUACAUAGCCGACCUGAGAUGGUGAUCGGCCACACUGUGACGGAUGCACGGCCCAGACUCCUACGGGAGGCAGCAGUAGGGAAUCUUCGGCAAUGGGGGGAACCCUGACCGAGCAACGCCGCGUGAGUGAAGAAGGUUUUCGGAUCGUAAAGCUCUGUUGUUAAGGAAGCGGUACUUAACCAGAAAGGGACGGCUAACUACGUGCCAGCAGCCGCGGUAAUUC
This 407-nucleotide ribosomal RNA is filed under the name uncultured bacterium. Its description in RNAcentral is "partial 16S ribosomal RNA". It matches the Rfam family "Bacterial small subunit ribosomal RNA", at positions 28 to 526 of the family's 1533-position model. The record is from RNAcentral.